Molecule: ribosomal RNA, 583 nt
Filed under: uncultured bacterium
Lineage: Bacteria
Description: partial 16S ribosomal RNA
Rfam family: Bacterial small subunit ribosomal RNA
Source: RNAcentral
UGGGGAAUUUUGGACAAUGGGCGAAAGCCUGAUCCAGCAAUGCCGCGUGUGUGAAGAAGGCCUUCGGGUUGUAAAGCACUUUUGUCCGGAAAGAAAUCCUUGGCUCUAAUACAGUCGGGGGAUGACGGUACCGGAAGAAUAAGCACCGGCUAACUACGUGCCAGCAGCCGCGGUAAUACGUAGGGUGCAAGCGUUAAUCGGAAUUACUGGGCGUAAAGCGUGCGCAGGCGGUUUGCUAAGACCGAUGUGAAAUCCCCGGGCUCAACCUGGGAACUGCAUUGGUGACUGGCAGGCUAGAGUAUGGCAGAGGGGGGUAGAAUUCCACGUGUAGCAGUGAAAUGCGUAGAGAUGUGGAGGAAUACCGAUGGCGAAGGCAGCCCCUGGGCCAAUACUGACGCUCAUGCACGAAAGCGUGGGGAGCAAACAGGAUUAGAUACCCUGGUAGUCCACGCCCUAAACGAUGUCAACUAGUUGUUGGGGAUUCAUUUCCUUAGUAACGUAGCUAACGCGUGAAGUUGACCGCCUGGGGAGUACGGUCGCAAGAUUAAAACUCAAAGGAAUUGACGGGGUCAUAGCUGUUUCC